GUCACAUGAUGGACAUGAUAUAAUGAAACAACAUUGUGGAGAGGAAAGCAUUAGGGGAGCCCACGGCUACAAAAACAAGUGAGUGAGAAGAGGUGGGAGGAAGAGAAACUACGCCACCUCCCCUGCAGCCGAGUGCACGCAGCAGCCUGGCGUGACAAGUGGGCGACGCCGGGGGGCAGGGAGCCGGGGUCCUUGGCCCUGGCCGGGGACCCCACCGCCCACCGCGCGGAGGACAACUUUUAGCCGGCAGCCCAGACCAGCGCGGCACCUGUCUCCGGAGUCUCCACCGCUCCUCCCGAUUCAUCCCAGGGAAAUUCUCAAGAAUACGCUCUACAAAUCUACGUGCGCAUCAUUUUCACCUCGCGUCGCGCCCGGGAGGAAGGAACGAGGCAAGGAGCUAAAGCAGCGUGCGUUCAGCCCUGGGGCAUUUUAUUAAUGCUUUUACGAGUUAGAAGAGUUGGGAUAAUUUGCCAUCUGGAGUUUCUCUGCCUUGCUGAUCUGAGCUCAGACCUGCCAAUUUACCAGAGAUAAUUGAUAACACCCUGUAACAGCUGAGAGGAAAAUGGAAGAAACGGAGAUACUUUUAGUGAAGCAGAAUAAACCACUGAACAGGAAAAAUGAGGAAGCUGUGAGUACCAGUGGAAGGAACGAGCCAGGAAGAGGGACUGGAACCAUCUCAGAAGCCAUGCCCCUCAGGCUGGAACUUGCCCUGUCUCCUCGCAGAUGAGGACAAGUCCUGCGCUUGGGGAUCCUCUGUACGCCCGUUCACUGACCCAAAGAAGGACAUCCAUGUACCCCACGUUAAGAAGGCUGCCCUGGACUAAGCCCUCACUGUGACUCUGCUGUUCUUAAGCUUCCCAGGAAACACUGUUAUGUAAAAAGACGAGCCAUCCAGGUCAAAAAGAAGUCAUUGUGGUUGCUAGGUGGGGGUGCAAAGCCAAAGACAAAGGGUGGGGAAAAUACAUGACUAAUAAUAAAUAAAGAGCAUGGUUAAUACCAGAGUCUCCAAACUGAUAGCCCAGAAUCCCUCAACAUGUAGCCACGAGUAUUUGUAAAGUACGUUGUGAAUUCAGGUAGAGGGCCGAAGACUCAAUAUUAAGCAGUUGGGCAGAGUUUUCAUACAUAUAUUUGUCUCUGCCUUUUGCACAAUAUAAAACUAUGAAAUCUCUUUUCAUUUUUCUAUUGUGCACGCUACCACAUUAGGUAGGAAUCAAAAUCAUCUCAACUCCAGAAGUAUAAUUCAUAACAAUUAUAACAAAGCAGAAAAAUGAUUCUACAUUAGCAGAAGAAAUGUAGUAGGAAUAGAUUUAAAAUAGCAUGGUUGAGUACAAAAGAAACAUCGUUUUUUAAAAAAUGGCAGCCUUUAUCACUCAUCAGCUAAACUUAAAGUCAAUGCUGUGAGGCUGUUGCGGGAAAAAAAUAGUCAUGAUUCUUGGGUGUAUUAAAAGGAGUAUGACAUAGAAGGGUAAGAAAACAAGACGUAGUGUGUUUGUCAGACUCAUCAUUGUGUCCUGUUUGAGUCACACUUAAAAAAAGAAUUUGGACAAUUGUGAAAAGCUGAUACACAAGCAACAGAAAUUACACGCCCUUCCAGGAAAAGAUAAGGCAACUGAGGAUUUUAUUCCACACAAGGCUGGAGGAUUUUUUGCUAAUGGCCUUUAAGUAGUAACAGUCUGGUUUAUCCUUAUAUUCCUAGGGCCUUCCGCUCUGCCUGGUGCACAGUACUUGAGAUGAUCGUUGUGUUUAGUGAUAAUGAGUAAGGUUCCUGUGAGAGACUUAGCAGGAGUAAGUAGGUUCAAAUAAAACCAGCGAUAGUGUCAUGACAGACGGUAUAUAAUACAUGAAUUUGCUGGGUGAUUAAUACAUAAGGAUGACUGUCUCACUUGUGAGGAUGAUAUAAUACUUCAGCAGCUAACUGGGGGAAGCUACAAAAUCUUGGUUUGAUACCUCUUUCAGGAUGAAAGCAGAUAAGUCUGCUGGGGUGGUGGAAACAUUCAUUCAUUCAUUCUACAAACCCUGAGGGCCUACUUGGCUAGGUGCUCACGGUCUGG
This is a long non-coding RNA of Homo sapiens (human), 2051 nucleotides long. Ensembl annotates it as long intergenic non-protein coding RNA, p53 induced transcript. Its record names the gene LINC-PINT. The record is from Ensembl. NCBI's taxonomy places the organism in Eukaryota, Metazoa, Chordata, Mammalia, Primates, Hominidae.